GUGGGGAAUAUUGGACAAUGGGCGCAAGCCUGAUCCAGCCAUGCCGCGUGUGUGAAGAAGGCCUUCGGGUUGUAAAGCACUUUUGUUGGGGAAGAAAAGACACCGGUUAAUACCCGGGGUUUCUGACGGUACCCAAAGAAUAAGCACCGGCUAACUUCGUGCCAGCAGCCGCGGUAAUACGAAGGGUGCAAGCGUUACUCGGAAUUACUGGGCGUAAAGCGUGCGUAGGUGGUGAGUUAAGUCUGUCGUGAAAGCCCCGGGCUCAACCUGGGAAUGGCGAUGGAUACUGGCUCGCUAGAGUGCGGUAGAGGAGAGUGGAAUUCCCGGUGUAGCAGUGAAAUGCGUAGAGAUCGGGAGGAACAUCAGUUGCGAAGGCGGCUCUCUGGACCAGCACUGACACUGAGGCACGAAAGCGUGGGGAGCAAA
Molecule: ribosomal RNA, 426 nt
Filed under: uncultured bacterium
Lineage: Bacteria
Description: bacterial SSU rRNA
Rfam family: Bacterial small subunit ribosomal RNA
Source: RNAcentral